GAGCUUUUCAGUAGUUUACUACAGAAAAUGACUGAGCGGCGAACGGGUGAGUAACGCGUGAGCAAUCUACCUUAGUUACAGGGAUAGCCCGAGGAAACUCGGAUUAAUACCUGAUAUUCUUUACAUUUCGCAUGAAAUCAAAAGGAAAGGUCAGCCGAACUAAGAUGAGCUCGCGUUCUAUCAGCUAGUUGGUGAGGUAAAAGCUCACCAAGGCAACGACGGAUAGCUGGUCUGAGAGGACGAUCAGCCACACUGGGACUGAGACACGGCCCAGACUCCUACGGGAGGCUGCAGCAGGGAAUAUUGCGCAAUGAGCGAAAGCUUGACGCAGCGACACCGCGUGUGGGAUGACGGAUCUAGGUUUGUAAACCACUUUCAGGAGGGAAGGAAAUGACGGUACCUCCACAAGAAGCCCCGGCCAACUACGUGCCAGCAGCCGCGGUAAUACGUAGGGGGCGAGCGUUGUCCGGAUUUAUUGGGCGUAAGGAGCUCGUAGGCGGUUCAACAAGUCGGUCGUAAAAGUUCAGGGCUCAACCCUGAAAUGUCGAUCGAUACUGUUGUGACUAGGAUACGGUAGAGGUGAGUGGAAUUCCGAGUGUAGCGGUGAAAUGCGUAGAUAUUCGGAGGAACACCAAUUGCGAAGGCAGCUCACUGGGCCGCUAUCGACGCUGAGGAGCGAAAGCUAGGGGA
RNAcentral lists this ribosomal RNA (690 nucleotides) under uncultured bacterium. RNAcentral describes it as "bacterial SSU rRNA". It matches the Rfam family "Bacterial small subunit ribosomal RNA", at positions 64 to 767 of the family's 1533-position model. The record is from RNAcentral.